UGAGGAAUAUUGGACAAUGGGCGCAAGCCUGAUCCAGCCAUGCCGCGUGCAGGAAGAAGCAUCUAUGGUGUGUAAACUGCUUUUGUACGGGAAGAAACACUCCUUCGCGAAGGAGCUUGACGGUACCGUAAGAAUAAGGAUCGGCUAACUCCGUGCCAGCAGCCGCGGUAAUACGGAGGAUCCAAGCGUUAUCCGGAAUCAUUGGGUUUAAAGGGUCCGUAGGCGGUUUAGUAAGUCAGUGGUGAAAGCCCAUCGCUCAACGAUGGAACGGCCAUUGAUACUGCUAGACUUGAAUUAUUAGGAAGUAACUAGAAUAUGUAGUGUAGCGGUGAAAUGCUUAGAGAUUACAUGGAAUACCGAUUGCGAAGGCAGGUUACUACCAAUAGAUUGACGCUGAUGGACGAGAGAGUGGGUAGCGAACA
RNAcentral lists this ribosomal RNA (422 nucleotides) under uncultured bacterium. RNAcentral's name for it is "bacterial SSU rRNA". It matches the Rfam family "Bacterial small subunit ribosomal RNA", at positions 355 to 774 of the family's 1533-position model. The record is from RNAcentral.